GCUGGAUCCCCCUCAGCCGUGCGUUGCUGU
RNAcentral lists this ribosomal RNA (30 nucleotides) under Alternaria oxytropis. Its description in RNAcentral is "partial 18S ribosomal RNA". Lineage: Eukaryota; Fungi; Ascomycota; Dothideomycetes; Pleosporales; Pleosporaceae. The record is from RNAcentral.